ACCCAGCUGGGUCAGUCAGUAGAGCAUGUGACUCUUGAUCUCAGGGUCAUGAGUUCAAGCCCCAUGCUGGGCA
RNAcentral lists this transfer RNA (73 nucleotides) under Ursus americanus (American black bear). It matches the Rfam family "tRNA". Rfam says of the family: Transfer RNA (tRNA) molecules are approximately 80 nucleotides in length. Their secondary structure includes four short double-helical elements and three loops (D, anti-codon, and T loops). The record is from Rfam by way of RNAcentral. RNAcentral also lists the same sequence under 2 other names. Lineage: Eukaryota; Metazoa; Chordata; Mammalia; Carnivora; Ursidae.